GACGAACGCUGGCGGCGUGCUUAACACAUGCAAGUCGAACGAAGAGCGAUGGAAGCUUGCUUCUAUCAAUCUUAGUGGCGAACGGGUGAGUAACGCGUAAUCAACCUGCCCUUCAGAGGGGGACAACAGUUGGAAACGACUGCUAAUACCGCAUACGAUCUAACCUCGGCAUCGAGGAUGGAUGAAAGGUGGCCUCUAUUUAUAAGCUAUCACUGAAGGAGGGGAUUGCGUCUGAUUAGCUAGUUGGAGGGGUAACGGCCCACCAAGGCGAUGAUCAGUAGCCGGUCUGAGAGGAUGAACGGCCACAUUGGGACUGAGACACGGCCCAGACUCCUACGGGAGGCAGCAGUGGGGAAUCUUCCGCAAUGGACGAAAGUCUGACGGAGCAACGCCGCGUGAGUGAUGACGGCCUUCGGGUUGUAAAGCUCUGUUAAUCGGGACGAAAGGCCUUCUUACGAAUAGUUAGAAGGAUUGACGGUACCGGAAUAGAAAGCCACGGCUAACUACGUG
This 510-nucleotide ribosomal RNA is filed under the name uncultured bacterium. Its description in RNAcentral is "partial 16S ribosomal RNA". It matches the Rfam family "Bacterial small subunit ribosomal RNA", at positions 28 to 507 of the family's 1533-position model. The record is from RNAcentral.